GCAGACACAUUCCAGCCAAUCAGCAGCAGACCCUCCCUCCCAGACCCUCCCACCCCCUGGACAGCAUCCAUUUUGAAGCUGCAUUCUUAGUGAGCUGUCCAGGAGGUGGGAGGGUCUGGGAGGGAGGGUUUGCUGCUGAUUGGCUGGAAUGUGUCUG
Non-coding RNA from Pelobates cultripes (western spadefoot toad), 157 nucleotides. The record is from the annotation of a GenBank genome assembly. Lineage: Eukaryota; Metazoa; Chordata; Amphibia; Anura; Pelobatidae.